This 301-nucleotide ribosomal RNA is filed under the name uncultured bacterium. RNAcentral's name for it is "partial 16S ribosomal RNA". It matches the Rfam family "Bacterial small subunit ribosomal RNA", at positions 509 to 807 of the family's 1533-position model. The record is from RNAcentral.
CAGCAGCCACGGUAAUACGUAGGUGGCAAGCGUUGUCCGGAAUUAUUGGGCGUAAAGGGCUCGCAGGCGGUUUCUUAAGUCUGAUGUGAAAGCCCCCGGCUCAACCGGGGAGGGUCAUUGGAAACUGGGAAACUUGAGUGCAGAAGAGGAGAGUGGAAUUCCACGUGUAGCGGUGAAAUGCGUAGAGAUGUGGAGGAACACCAGUGGCGAAAGCGACUCUCUGGUCUGUAACUGACGCUGAGGAGCGAAAGCGUGGGGAGCGAACAGGAUUAGAUACCCCGGUAGUCCCUGUCUCUUAUAC